AUACGGAGGGUGCAAGCGUUACUCGGAAUCACUGGGCGUAAAGCGCGCGCAGGCGGCUUGAUAAGUUGGAUGGGAAAGCCUACGGCUCAACCGUAGAACUGCAUCCAAAACUGUCAGGCUAGAGUGUGGGAGAGGAAGAUGGAAUUAGUUGUGUAGGGGUAAAAUCCGUAGAGAUAACUAGGAAUACCAAAAGCGAAGGCAAUCUUCUGGAACACUACUGACGCUGAGGCGCGAAGGCGUGGGGAGCAAACAGGAUUAGAAACCCUAGUAGUCC
Molecule: ribosomal RNA, 274 nt
Filed under: uncultured bacterium
Lineage: Bacteria
Description: partial 16S ribosomal RNA
Rfam family: Bacterial small subunit ribosomal RNA
Source: RNAcentral